GACGAACGCUGGCGGCGUGCUUAACACAUGCAAGUCGAACGAUGACGCAAAGAAUCGAAGCUUCGGCAGAAAUUCAUUUCGGAUUAGUGGCAGACGGGUGAGUAACGCGUGAGCAACCUACCUCUUACAAAGGGAUAGCCUCGGGAAACCGGGAUUAAUACCAUAUAACAUUGUGACGAAGCAUUUCGAUGCAAUCAAAGCUACGGCGGUAAGCGAUGGGCUCGCGUCCCAUUAACCGGAUGGGGAGGUAACGGCUCACCAUAGUGACGAUGGGUAACCGGACUGAGAGGGUGAACGGUCACACUGGAACUGAGACACGGUCCAGACUCCUACGGGAGGCAGCAGUAGGGAAUAUUGCACAAUGGAUGGAACGCUGAUGCAGCGACGCCGCGGGAGUGAUGAAGGAAUUCGUUUCGUAAAACUCUGUUCUAUGGGAAGAAAAGGACUGUACCAUAGGAGAAAGCUCCGGCUAAAUACGUG
This 480-nucleotide ribosomal RNA is filed under the name uncultured bacterium. Its description in RNAcentral is "partial 16S ribosomal RNA". It matches the Rfam family "Bacterial small subunit ribosomal RNA", at positions 28 to 507 of the family's 1533-position model. The record is from RNAcentral.